Long non-coding RNA from Panicum virgatum (switchgrass), 1320 nucleotides. RefSeq lists it as uncharacterized. The record is from RefSeq and is a predicted model, not a curated record. NCBI's taxonomy places the organism in Eukaryota, Viridiplantae, Streptophyta, Magnoliopsida, Poales, Poaceae. The transcript has 3 exons.
UUCCCAAAUUAAACUGAUGGAAUAUAAUGUUUGCAGAUUCUUACUUCUCCACCAACAAUUUAAUCAUUUGUCUCUGGCUAGCAAUUUAAGUGUUCUUCUCAGCUAUGUGCUUAGGGUGGGAGCAGCAAAGGAUGUAUACUGUGAAAAAUGAGUAUUCUCAUUUUGGUGCAUCUAUACCUACUAUUCGUUUGCGCCAAUUCAAGGGCAGAUAUUCUAACUGUAUAUUACCCAUCUAUUCAUCACGUUCUUCAACUCUGUAUGCAGUGCGGCCUCAAGGGAAGGUUAUUAAUGAAGCUCAAUUUGGCAAAGAGCUGCAAUCACCUGCAACCAAAUGUUUCAAUUCUCCAUUGGUUUUCUCAACAAGAGGGAGCAAGCAUAUGAAAGACUAAAAGGACAACAAGCAAAGCAAUUUAUUCAUACCAAGGUAUCCACUUCCUCUUGUAGUACUUUGGUGAUUGCAGCAUUCGUGCCUAUCAUCAUCAACUUUUGACCCUGUAGAAUACAUUUUGCAUUAAGUCAUAAUUUUAAAAUAAAACAUAGAAAUAGCAUCUCAUAUACUUGCAAAUAGCAUAGAAAAUCAGUCUCACAUCUUUCACCCCCAAAUCAGACCAAUUCCCAUUGUCCUGUAUUAUAAAGUAGAAUAGUGUUAUAAAAGUAGAUAAGAGAUUACAAUAUAAUAGUGUUAUAAAGUAGCUUCAGUGCAUAUAUAUACCAACUAUAUAAGCUCACCUCCAAUGUUCCACCCUUGCCAAUGAUCUUUUGACAUUCAGGUGGAACCCCCGUAAGUGUGUACAGCUGACUCUUGAAAACAAUUGGUGGCUGGCUAGUGUCAAUCUCCAUGCCUGCAAAAAUAAUCAUCAUUCAAAAAGUAUUUCCUUAUACUAUGGAAGCAAGAAGUUUAUGCAUGCCUGCAAAGGCUACUUGUUUAUUGUAGUUGCACGAUAAAUUAUAUACUUAGGUAAAGAUGUGUAGUUGUGUACUGCUGUGCACAUGCCACAUCAAUGGCCAAAAUGCCUAAAAGCUGUGCUGACAAUGGAUGCAAGGGGAAAGACCCUCCUAAGGAGAAAGGAGGACUGGGAAUCAAGAAAAUUAGGUUGCAAAAUGAAGCUCUGCUACUCAAGCACCUAGAUUCUAUAACAGGAAAGAUGUGCCAUGGGUUAAUCUAGUAUGACACACAUAAUACAAAGAGGGGUAGGUGCCACAUGAGACAGCAACAAGAUGCUAGCCAAAUGUAAUGUAGGUGAUCGGCAAAUGGUUAUGUUAUGGCAUGACAUAUGGAACAACCACAAUUUACAUGAGGAGCUACCAAGGUUAUACUCA